Molecule: long non-coding RNA, 1308 nt
Filed under: Daphnia pulex (common water flea)
Lineage: Eukaryota; Metazoa; Arthropoda; Branchiopoda; Diplostraca; Daphniidae
Description: uncharacterized LOC124196071, transcript variant X1
Source: RNAcentral
CAAAUUCCUGGAAAAAAGUAUCAGAAUUCAGUUAUUUUCCCUUUUAUAUUUAAUUAAUUUUACAACGAUACCUCGUAAUGGGUUGCUAGUAAUCGGUAACCUUCACUCAGUAAUAGGAAAUUAAUUGCAGCAUAUAUCUGGUCGUGUGGGAAUUCUAUGAAGAUACUUCAGGAAGUUGGUCAUAAUGACCAAGCUUUGGGGAACCAGGAACCCAUCCGGGUCCAUAAAAGAUUGCUUUAAGCUUAUUGGUCAAUCCUGACAUGGAUUGCAUUUUUUGGAAGACUUUCCGCAGGUAAAAUGGAUUAAAGGAGUCCACUUGCUCAAUCAAUCCGUAAACUAAAGGUUCGUCCCUUCGCUCGGGUUCAAAAGUUCCAAACAUUCUAUCCCAGAUAAUGAGAACACCUGCGUAAUUUUUAUCCACACAAUAACGGGUUGAUCCUAGAUCGUGUAAGGUGGUAAAUUUACACUCGUCAACAAUUUAAAGGUAUUUGUAAAUACCAUGAUGCACACGAUGAUGUGAAGGAGUAUUUAAAAUCCAUUCAAGCGGACCAAGGUCAUCGAUAACUUCCGUGUGAAUCCAGAAUUGAAAUAGAAGAUUAAAUUGAGAGUGAACGAAGAAUUGACUCGGAGGAAUGAAAAACGCCAUUGGCAGGCUUAUACCAUGAGUUGCACGGUGAGCCCAGUAAUAUCCUAAAUCCAUCCCUAUAGCGCAAGCAACCCAUGUCCACAAUGAAUCCCAGGGAAGCUCAUAUAUGCGGUAGUACUCGUAAAUGUAAACAUACGCAGCAGUAGUAGCGCCUCUCAAGGCAAUACUAUUUAAAAAGACCGUUUGAAAUCUUGGGAAAACAACAAAACAUGUGGUGAUUUGCCUUUUUUACGCAGUAUAAUUCGUUCAAUUACAAUCAGAGCAAAAAACCACGUUGAGGCCUGCAAGUUAAUGAUACAAUAUGAGUAACUUACCCGACUAACAUAAUGAGGCACCUCAUCCGUGGUUCGAAAACUUGUCUAAAAGUUGCAAGAAAACCAUUAACUUUGUUCUACAAUUCUACCUUGAACUAUCCCUAACCUGAAAAGGAUUAACAAUAUAAAAAAGGUGACCUAAGCCUUCGAAUGCCUCCGAAAUGAAAUCCAUGAACGGUAGAAAUCUGCUGGUUCAACGUUUAUGCAACUCAAUUCUUUUCUGAAUCCCAACCGCGAUUCUCAGUGAUCAAAAGGCGUCCUUAAAUACCAUCGCAUGUUUUUGUUUAUCAGCUACUUUUGAGAUAAGACCAAUAGAAGCCAAAGUUCAAUAAAUAUCAAUCAUCCGUC